GUUGCGCUGUACCCUUGCUGGGAUCUGCAGUAUCUCCAAAUGACCCUCUGCCGCAGGGUGGGACAGCGCAAC
Molecule: small RNA, 72 nt
Rfam family: bZIP non canonical Hac1/Xbp1 intron
About the family: bZIP intron RNA is a non-canonical intron that was first reported in HAC1 gene in yeast and XBP1 gene in Metazoa.
Source: Rfam